This 541-nucleotide ribosomal RNA is filed under the name Echinodera graeca. RNAcentral describes it as "partial 16S ribosomal RNA". It matches the Rfam family "Bacterial large subunit ribosomal RNA", at positions 1819 to 2625 of the family's 2925-position model. The record is from RNAcentral. Lineage: Eukaryota; Metazoa; Arthropoda; Insecta; Coleoptera; Curculionidae.
GGCUUUUUGAUAAUAAUUUAAGGUCUAACCUGCCCAAUGAUUUAAAUAUUAAAUGGCCGCGGUAUUUUGACCGUGCAAAGGUAGCAUAAUCAUUAGUUUUUUAAUUGAAAGCUUGUAUGAAAGGUUUGAUGAAAAAAGGACUGUCUUUAUUUAAAUUUUUUAGAAAUUUAUUUUUAAGUUAAAAAGCUUAAAUGAGUAUUAAAGACGAGAAGACCCUAUAGAGUUUUAUAAUUUUAUAGAAUUUAUUAUAUUUUAGGAUUUUUUAAUAAAUUCUAUAAAAUUAUUUGGUUGGGGUGAUUUAAAAAUUAAUUAAACUUUUUUAUUGAAUUUCCAUUGAUUUAUGAGUUUUUGAUCCUUAUUUAAAGAUUAAUAGAGAAAAUUACCUUAGGGAUAACAGCGUAAUUUUUUUUAGAGUUCUUAUCAAAAGAAAAGAUUGCGACCUCGAUGUUGGAUUAAAAAUAAUUAUUGGUGUAGAAGCUAAUAAAAUUAGGUCUGUUCGACCUUUAAAUUUUUACAUGAUCUGAGUUUAAACCGGUGUAAG